UGGCUCAGACGGUAAAGCAUCUGCCUGCAAUGCAGGAGACCUGGGUUCAAUUCCUGG
Molecule: transfer RNA, 57 nt
Filed under: Ovis aries (sheep)
Lineage: Eukaryota; Metazoa; Chordata; Mammalia; Artiodactyla; Bovidae
Rfam family: tRNA
About the family: Transfer RNA (tRNA) molecules are approximately 80 nucleotides in length. Their secondary structure includes four short double-helical elements and three loops (D, anti-codon, and T loops).
Source: Rfam by way of RNAcentral